GAUGAACGCUGGCGGCGUGCCUAAUACAUGCAAGUCGAGCGAACGGACGAGAAGCUUGCUUCUCUGAUGUUAGCGGCGGACGGGUGAGUAACACGUGGAUAACCUACCUAUAAGACUGGGAUAACUUCGGGAAACCGGAGCUAAUACCGGAUAAUAUUUUGAACCGCAUGGUUCAAAAGUGAAAGACGGUCUUGCUGUCACUUAUAGAUGGAUCCGCGCUGCAUUAGCUAGUUGGUAAGGUAACGGCUUACCAAGGCAACGAUGCAUAGCCGACCUGAGAGGGUGAUCGGCCACACUGGAACUGAGACACGGUCCAGACUCCUACGGGAGGCAGCAGUAGGGAAUCUUCCGCAAUGGGCGAAAGCCUGACGGAGCAACGCCGCGUGAGUGAUGAAGGUCUUCGGAUCGUAAAACUCUGUUAUUAGGGAAGAACAUAUGUGUAAGUAACUGUGCACAUCUUGACGGUACCUAAUCAGAAAGCCACGGCUAACUACGUGCCAGCAGCCGCGGUAAUACGUAGGUGGCAAGCGUUAUCCGGAAUUAUUGGGCGUAAAGCGCGCGUAGGCGGUUUUUUAAGUCUGAUGUGAAAGCCCACGGCUCAACCGUGGAGGGUCAUUGGAAACUGGAAAACUUGAGUGCAGAAGAGGAAAGUGGAAUUCCAUGUGUAGCGGUGAAAUGCGCAGAGAUAUGGAGGAACACCAGUGGCGAAGGCGACUUUCUGGUCUGUAACUGACGCUGAUGUGCGAAAGCGUGGGGAUCAAACAGGAUUAGAUACCCUGGUAGUCCACGCCGUAAACGAUGAGUGCUAAGUGUUAGGGGGUUUCCGCCCCUUAGUGCUGCAGCUAACGCAUUAAGCACUCCGCCUGGGGAGUACGACCGCAAGGUUGAAACUCAAGGGAAUUGACGGGGACCCGCACAAGCGGUGGAGCAUGUGGUUUAAUUCGAAGCAACGCGAAGAACCUUACCAAAUCUUGACAUCCUUUGACAACUCUAGAGAUAGAGCUUUCCCCUUCGGGGGACAAAGUGACAGGUGGUGCAUGGUUGUCGUCAGCUCGUGUCGUGAGAUGUUGGGUUAAGUCCCGCAACGAGCGCAACCCUUAAGCUUAGUUGCCAUCAUUAAGUUGGGCACUCUAAGUUGACUGCCGGUGACAAACCGGAGGAAGGUGGGGAUGACGUCAAAUCAUCAUGCCCCUUAUGAUUUGGGCUACACACGUGCUACAAUGGACAAUACAAAGGGCAGCGAAACCGUGAGGUCAAGCAAAUCCCAUAAAGUUGUUCUCAGUUCGGAUUGUAGUCUGCAACUCGACUACAUGAAGCUGGAAUCGCUAGUAAUCGUAGAUCAGCAUGCUACGGUGAAUACGUUCCCGGGUCU
This 1372-nucleotide ribosomal RNA is filed under the name uncultured bacterium. Its description in RNAcentral is "bacterial SSU rRNA". It matches the Rfam family "Bacterial small subunit ribosomal RNA", at positions 28 to 1381 of the family's 1533-position model. The record is from RNAcentral.